UACAGAGGUCUCAAGCGUUGUUCGGAUUCAUUGGGCGUAAAGGGUGCGUAGGCGGCGCGGCAAGUCGGGUGUGAAAUCUUGGAGCUUAACUCCGAAACUGCAUUCGAUACUGCCGUGCUUGAGGACUGGAGAGGAGACUGGAAUUUACGGUGUAGCGGUGAAAUGCGUAGAUAUCGUAAGGAAGACCAGUGGCGAAGGCGGGUCUCUGGACAGUUACUGACGCUGAGGCACGAAGGCCAGGGGAGCAAACGGG
RNAcentral lists this ribosomal RNA (253 nucleotides) under uncultured bacterium. RNAcentral describes it as "partial 16S ribosomal RNA". It matches the Rfam family "Bacterial small subunit ribosomal RNA", at positions 524 to 776 of the family's 1533-position model. The record is from RNAcentral.